UUUUUUCUUUGGUUAUUUAUACACCACUGUGAAAAUACUAAAAAAAGAUCGCGUUAAAAUUCAUGAGGAGAUAAAACACCGAUGAUUUCACGCGACGUAUAUGAUACCGGUCAUUCCGAGAAAUAAAGCGCAACGUUCAAAAUACAUAUACGCUCAAAAAUAUUUGUACAGCAGUAAGAAGCUUUUCAAUGAGAACUUAUGACUUGUUCGCUAAUUCUGGAUACUGGAUUAACUUAAAAUUUAUUUCAUAUGUUAAUUGAUAAUUGAGAACUUCACCGAACUUUCAGCAAUAUAUCAACAAGUACAUCAGGACGGAUAAUAUUAAUAUAUAUGACAAUGUCUUAGUAUUUUACAUGUUGUGCAAUAUUUUAAGAAGAUAUCAGUUUAGUAGAAUUGUAAUAAUAAACCAUAAUAUAUUAGCGAUAAAAAUGUAUUACUUCGUAAAAAAUCGUAAAAAGGUAUUACUGAAUAUUUUAUAUAUAUCGUCAUAAAUGAACGUUCUGCGAAUUAUUCACGAUAUUUUGCAAAAGCAUACGAAUGUUUCCACUAAGAGAUUAUUGACUCUGCAACAUAUGCGCACAAUGGAAUUAUGCAAAUUGAAUAAGACAUAACUUAUAGACGACCUCAUAAAGUACUACUUUUUCCAAGUACAAAUUUUGUGCUUCUGUAUAAUUACUUGCAAAUGGCAAAGUAUAUAACAAAAGAUUAAUGAUCGUGAAUAAUGUAAAAUAUGUACAUUUCAUUUGAAUACGAAAUAAUACGGCUGUCCUUGUAAUUAAUACUUAUUAAUAAACCUAAUCAGGAAUAUAAUUAUGGCAUAUGAAAUGGAAGAGAAGAUAUCGUCUGUAAUAGUAUGUUUGUUAAAAGAAUAGAAUAUUUGUAAUUAUAAAUUUUAUAUAUUUAUAUUAUUUAUUUUUAUAUAUUAAUUGUAAUUAUAAAAAAUAUCUACAAUUUACAAAAGACGUUGAAAGGAAGAGAUAAGUAAAUCGUUAUUUAUGAAAUUUAUGGAGAAAGAAUUUAUGGAGAAGUCUUUAUUUGUGAUUUAACAUUAAACACGUU
Bombus pyrosoma is the source of this 1059-nucleotide long non-coding RNA. RefSeq lists it as uncharacterized. Lineage: Eukaryota; Metazoa; Arthropoda; Insecta; Hymenoptera; Apidae. The record is from RefSeq and is a predicted model, not a curated record. The transcript has 3 exons.